Long non-coding RNA from Thalassophryne amazonica, 148 nucleotides. RefSeq lists it as uncharacterized. The transcript has 3 exons. The record is from RefSeq and is a predicted model, not a curated record. Lineage: Eukaryota; Metazoa; Chordata; Actinopteri; Batrachoidiformes; Batrachoididae.
ACCUUCACUGCACUUUUAGCACCACAGCAGCAUGUCUAACUCUCUUAGUCUGACUUUCUACACCCAAAGUGAUCAAAGGGAAUAAUGUGAUUAUUAGCCAUCAGAUGACAAAAGUAAAACCUCUCAAAUCAUUCUAGAGUCUGUUUUA